This 478-nucleotide ribosomal RNA is filed under the name uncultured eukaryote. Its description in RNAcentral is "bacterial SSU rRNA". It matches the Rfam family "Eukaryotic small subunit ribosomal RNA", at positions 12 to 465 of the family's 1831-position model. The record is from RNAcentral.
UCCUGACGGUAGUCGUAUGACUCGUCUCCGAGACUAAGCCAUGCAAGUCCAAGUACACGUCCUUGAACGACGGAAACUGCGAACGGCUCAUUAAAUCAGUUGCGAUCUACUCGGCGUUCCGCGCCGCCGGAUAACCGUAGUAAUUCUAGGGCUAAUACGUGCGAAGCGCCCGAAGCCGCGAGGCGACGGGCGUUCUCGCCGGAUGUAGGAACCGACCCGGGGACCGCCGGGGGCAACCCGGCGCCCCCGAGACGGGGCGAACCACGGUGAAAUGACGGAUCGUCGGCCCCGCGCCGGCGACUCGCCGAAUGAGUUUCUGACCUAUCAACUCGAGACGGCGGGGUAGAGGCCCGCCGCGGUAACGACGGGGUAACGGGGAAUCAGGGUUCGAUUCCGGAGAGGGGAGCCCGAGAAACGGCUACCACUUCCAAGGAAGGCAGCAGGCGCGCAACUUACCCUAAUCUCGAUUCGAGGAGGU